RNAcentral lists this non-coding RNA (326 nucleotides) under Actinoplanes awajinensis subsp. mycoplanecinus. RNAcentral's name for it is "Bacterial large subunit ribosomal RNA". It matches the Rfam family "Bacterial large subunit ribosomal RNA", at positions 225 to 504 of the family's 2925-position model. Lineage: Bacteria; Bacillati; Actinomycetota; Actinomycetes; Micromonosporales; Micromonosporaceae. The record is from Rfam by way of RNAcentral.
ACAACCGUGAUUCCGUGAGUAGUGGCGAGCGAAAGCGGAUCUAGCCUAAACCUUGCGUGUGUGAUACCUGUCAGGGGUUGCGCGUGGGGGGUUGUGGGAUUUCUUGUGGAAGAUCUGACAGUCUUCCGAGGAGUUACAAAGUUUGAUGCUAGUCGAACGGCGUGGGAAAGCCGACCGUAGAGGGUGAGAGUCCCGUAGACGAAAGUGUCAUGCCUCCUUAUAGAUUCUCCCGAGUAGCAGCGGACUCCUAGAAUCUGCUGUGAAUCUGCCAGGACCACCUGGUAAGGCUGAAUACUUCCUGGUGACCGAUAGCGGACAAGUACCGU